GACGAACGCUGGCGGCGUGCUUAACACAUGCAAGUCGAACGGAAAGGCCUGCUUUCCCUUGUGGAUUGCGGGUACUCGAGUGGCGAACGGGUGAGUAACACGUGAGUGAUCUGCCCCCAACUUGGGUAUAAGCCUGGGAAACUGGGUCUAAUUCCCGAUAGGACUGCAGGGUGGUGCCUGUGGUGGAAAACGAUUUUCUAGUUGUUGGGGAUGAGCUCGCGGCCUAUCAGCUUGUUGGUGGGGUAAUGGCCUACCAAGGCGGCGACGGGUAGCCGGCCUGAGAGGGUGGACGGCCACAUUGGGACUGAGAUACGGCCCAGACUCCUACGGGAAGCAGCAGUGGGGAAUAUUGCACAAUGGGCGGAAGCCUGAUGCAGCGACGCCGCGUGGGGGAUGACGGCCUUCGGGUUGUAAACUCCUUUCGACCGCGAGGAAGCCACCUGGUUGGAAGGGUGGUGACGGUAGUGGUAGAAGAAGCACCGGCUAACUACGUG
RNAcentral lists this ribosomal RNA (494 nucleotides) under uncultured bacterium. RNAcentral describes it as "partial 16S ribosomal RNA". It matches the Rfam family "Bacterial small subunit ribosomal RNA", at positions 28 to 507 of the family's 1533-position model. The record is from RNAcentral.